UCGUGCAAUCUUCUACGAGACCGAGGCGUGUCUCGACCACAGGGAUAUUCCGGUAGGUAACUACACAUUCUACGCACGUGUGUGUGUGUGUGUGUGUCCGAAUCCUUCGAAUGACCCCGCUUUGUCCUUCCAUUCUUCAUUUCUUUCAGAAACGAAGAAAUUUGAAAUGUUACACGUGGCUCACAUUUUCUAACCGAUACAAAAAAAAACAUGCGUAGAAAAACAAAUCACUCUCUAUUCUAAAGAAGUUUUCACUUCAAAUAUGAUCACAUUUAAAAUACGAACACUAUACAAGUCUAGUAAGUGAAUAUCGGAAAAAGUCUUCCAGUAACUCACUUAUCAUUUGUACGUAAUAGACAUAUAAUUUUAACGACUUCCAAGUAAACGGUCAUUUUGUCGCUUGUCUGUUUCUUUUUCUCUAAUUACUGCAUCAAUUGAAAACGUAAUAACUGCGAAGAAGAAAUUCGUAAUCGAGACGAGACGCUGAGUCUGAGGCGAACAUUCGUCCAUUUGUUCGGAGUGUGUGCACAAGGAGAAAGAAAUAAAAAAAAAAGUCAAGUCGAGAAGCGCAAAAAGAAUACGUUGACAGAAUGAAAUGUUUGUCUGGCGAUUUUUACAAGUUGAGAUGGGAACUAAAGUUAGACGUCAUCGAACGAUCGCCUAAGUUAUUUCUAGAGACGCUGUCACAAGGAGGAAGAGGGGAGCUGCGAGUUCGAGUGACCCAGAUCGUCGUUCAGUCGUAUUAAAAAUGAUGGAGAUUCGAGUGGGGUCAUAAGAUGUGUUGUGCUUGAUUCGUGACUUCGAUUGUUAGAUCAUUUGUUAUUCAAAACAUUUAAUCAUAUUUUACGAAGAUAAUAUACACUCUUUAUUUCUUUUUUCAUCGAUUUUUGGCGAUUCGCAAUUGAAUAUAAUUAAACGAUGUAGUCAUUGAGUUAGAUCAAAGACAGAUUCUACGUAUUUAUUAUCGAGUUAUUGAUUCUACCAAAGGAAUCCUUAGAAUCUUGAGAGUGAAGAGGAGAGGAAGAGAAAAUAAAAAAUUAAAGAAGGAAGAGGAAAGCUCGAUGAAGAGCGCGUGUCGCACGAGUACCCUAUCGAUACCCCACCAACCGAAGAGACUCGCCGGUAGAAUCACCCUCCGCUUCUGUAGUUGACUCGUAUAGGACGUCAGCAGCCAACAGCUAACAGUCAGUAGUAGCAGCAGCAGCAGCAGCAGCAGCCGCAGCAAUAGCAGCCACUUCUCUCGGCAACCUCCGUUGAUACUUACCCGCGCGUGUAUCUCUUCAGUCGGCUCGGAGCCACGUGCGUGUGUUCGAGAGUGGCUCUUGUCGUGACGUUCGAGUCUUCUACGAGUCUACUCGACUCUCUCUCUCCUCCUUCUCCUCCAACCCUUCUUCUUUGUCCUCUUUUUUCAUCUCUUUAUUUUCUUUUCCCAUUUUUUUCCUCUUUCCCUUUUUUCUCUUCUCAUUUUCCCUUCAUUCGAUAUUUUCUUUUUCUUUCGUUUCCAGUUACUCUCCACAAUUCUUGUUUAAAACAUCGUCUGUCUUGUGCCACCCUGACGAACAAUUUCGUUUUCUUCUUCUUCUUCCUGUUCCUCUUCUUCCUAUUUUUAUGUUUUCCACAAUUAACAAUCAGUGACUUUCAAUGGUUCAACGCGUAUCUUCAAGUAAAAUACUCCAGCAAAGAACCAUUUGGAGAUUCCCACGUUUCUUUGGAAACAAUCAUGAAGAAAGUGUAUAAGGAAUCAUUGAAAUUUUCGUGAAAACCACUUUGGACAAAAGAUACUUCUCGGAGGUUAAUUCUUCGAGGGACACGGAGUCUCUCGAGCAGAUGGUGUCGGUCAAAAGGGACUAAAAAUAUCAGUCGGUUCCGCGGUCGCAACGCAAGUAUCUUUUCUCAUCUUCCUUUCCUACUCUUCACUGGAGGAUUUCUGUGACUGGAAGAAGAGAAAAAAAACUACAUGGUAUCCUGACUAUUUUCUCUUUCUCUUUCUGUCUCUGUCUGCUUGCCUUUGAUCUUACUUAAGCGUAAGUGUAUAACACAAGGGAGGAAGAAGAAGAAACGAAUCCAGGAAGUAAGAAAUACGUUGCGAGUCAACGAAAUUCAAUGACUGAAGGUCUUUCAAGAGAAAUUAGCUCCUUCUAUUCAAGGAAGAUUUGUCGGUUUGUUAUUGCGACAGUUCAGAUAACGUCUGUCUAUCUUAACUAUUUUAUACAACAAUCAAAUAUUCGAUUUACGUAUUCUACAAUACCGUAGUCAAACUUUCAUAAGAAAAAAAGAAGUUCAUUUAUCAAGUAAUUAAUCUUGAUCUAUUAUCUCUUAUUUUUUUUUAGGCAAAAUAAAUAUUGAAAGUAAACAGAAUUAAGUUAUGAAGAAUCAAUUAUCGAGUUAUUUAUAAUCUAACAUAAGCAAGUUUGAAUCGCAACUGGGGAUCUGUUGUGCUUUUAGUGAUACCGAAGCUAGAAAGAAAGAAGUUUACUGCCCUUCUUGUUACUUUUACUUCUACUUCUGCCUCCUCCUCCUUUUUCUCUUCUUCUUCUUCUUCUUCUUCUUCAUCUUCUUCUUCGCGGUACAAUGUUUUACGGUAGGGAGGCGGUUGUUUGAAAUUCUUCUGGUGGAGUCGCGCUUCUGUAUUUAUAGAGCCGCACCGCGUGUCGAGGGAGUACGUAGGGCAGCGCGCGUGUAGGUACGCAGAGGUUCACUGAUGUGAGAGGGUAAAAGUAGAAGUAGAAGAACAAGAAGAAGAAGAUCAGAAGAAGAUCAGAA
Molecule: long non-coding RNA, 2763 nt
Filed under: Polistes dominula (European paper wasp)
Lineage: Eukaryota; Metazoa; Arthropoda; Insecta; Hymenoptera; Vespidae
Description: uncharacterized LOC107069596, transcript variant X1
Source: RNAcentral